Molecule: ribosomal RNA, 308 nt
Filed under: uncultured bacterium
Lineage: Bacteria
Description: partial 16S ribosomal RNA
Rfam family: Bacterial small subunit ribosomal RNA
Source: RNAcentral
GAGACAGCAGUAGCCGCGGUAAUACGGAGGAUGCAAGCGUUACUCGGAAUCACUGGGCGUAAAGGACGCGUAGGCGGAUUAUCAAGUCUCUUGUGAAAUCUAACGGCUUAACCGUUAAACUGCUUGGGAAACUGAUAAUCUAGAGUAAGGGAGAGGCAGAUGGAAUUCUUGGUGUAGGGGUAAAAUCCGUAGAGAUCAAGAAGAAUACCCUUGCGAAAGCGAUCUGCUGGAACUUAACUGUCGCUAAUGCGUGAAAGCGUGGGGAGCAAACAGGAUUAGAUACCCCAGUAGUCCCUGUCUCUUAUACC